Molecule: ribosomal RNA, 468 nt
Filed under: uncultured bacterium
Lineage: Bacteria
Description: partial 16S ribosomal RNA
Rfam family: Bacterial small subunit ribosomal RNA
Source: RNAcentral
GACGAACGCUGGCGGCGUGCUUAACACAUGCAAGUCGAACGGAAAGGCCCUGCUUUUGUGGGGUGCUCGAGUGGCGAACGGGUGAGUAACACGUGAGUAACCUGCCCUUGACUUUGGGAUAACUUCAGGAAACUGGGGCUAAUACCGGAUAGGAGCUCCUGCUGCAUGGUGGGGGUUGGAAAGUUUCGGCGGUUGGGGAUGGACUCGCGGCUUAUCAGCUUGUUGGUGGGGUAGUGGCUUACCAAGGCUUUGACGGGUAGCCGGCCUGAGAGGGUGACCGGCCACAUUGAGACUGAGAUACGGCCCAGACUCCUACGGGAGGCAGCAGUGGGGAAUAUUGCACAAUGGGCGGAAGCCUGAUGCAGCAACGCCGCGUGCGGGAUGACGGCCUUCGGGUUGUAAACCGCUUUCGCCUGUGACGAAGCGGGAGUGACGGUAAUGGGUAAAGAAGCACCGGCUAACUACGUG